UCAGGAUCACUGCAUUAUCAUGGCUGUGGAUCUGCUACCCAGGACAGCUGCCAAGUGACUCCUGGGAUUUCGGACUAUGGAUUGCUUCAGAUAACCAGAACAGAAGGAAAUGAAACCAAGAUUGAGGGACAUGGUGCCUCUAGGAUUGACCAGGUUACUUUCCUGCUGCUGUGACAAAACACCAUGAGCAAGGUAACCUAUAAAAGAAAUACUCUAAUCUGGAGCUGAUGGCUGCUGUGACAAAACACCAUGAGCAAGGAACUGAAACACCAGCUGUAGAUGGGGGAUGAAGAAGC
Long non-coding RNA from Mastomys coucha (southern multimammate mouse), 296 nucleotides. RefSeq lists it as uncharacterized. The record is from RefSeq and is a predicted model, not a curated record. The transcript has 3 exons. NCBI's taxonomy places the organism in Eukaryota, Metazoa, Chordata, Mammalia, Rodentia, Muridae.